AUGUCAGUUAAUGGUACAAAACUUUGGAACAUCUUAAUAGAGAAUGUGGUUAACCUGUAACUUUCAAACUUUUCACUAUAUGUCAAAAGCAAAAGCUGCAAGAGCAAGAAACUAAAAAUUUGGAAAAAAAAUUACCCAAAGUAUCAGAUUGAUGGUCUUGCCAAGGCAAUUUGUACUCAGUUGGCCUCUAAUGUAGUUGAUAUGAAGUGUAGAAGCAAUUGCAUAAGCUUUUCUGUCUACAGAAGGAAAAGCUUUCCUUGGAUGGUUACCUCGUCUUGGAAGUCACCAAGGUGUAUUGUAUUUGUACCUAAAACAUGCUCACUAUGUGAUCUCUGUGUCUGGCUCAUUUACUAACACCGACAUGACACUACGCUUCCAAAAAGACCAGGAUAUUGCCAUUAAAAAAUAAUGCUUCAAUGCUUUAUUUUUUAAAACAGUUCAGUAUUGUUCUUACUACACUUUGAACACCUAACGGUUUUUCUUUUUAUUAUUUACACUAGAACAGUCCAGUCCAGUCUGGAUGUGAUUUUUGAGACAUAAUCUGUUUUAAAUAUGCACCAUGUAUAUGUAAUCUUCUGCUCACUCAAAAUUAGGUUCAGAUCUGGACUUUUCACCUUGCUUUUUUUAAUGCAAAGGGUUUAUUGCAGCUUUUUCACAACAGGAUUUAAUUCUUAUUUGGAGAAAUUGUUCAGAUCAGACCAUUGUGAAAAAUAUUACAAAAUGUUUAGAAAAUAAAUUUAAGCAAAACUCAUUAUCAAGUGAGAAAGACUAAAAUUUUGAGCAUCUGUUUCAUAUAUCUGCAAACAUUUUCCAAGUUGUCAGCAUAAAUAAAAUGAAAUAAAAACUUAACAUUUCUAUUAAUGAUUAAUUUUAUAUAUUUUAAUCUGGUUGCAAUGAUCUUUUUAACCUUUUUAUUGCUCUAUUGCAGCGACGUCAAACUCCAGUCCUGAAGGGCAGGUGUACUGCAGCGUAUAGAUGUGCCUCUCCUGCGCCACACCUGAAUAAAAUAAUUAGUUCAUUAAGGCUCUGUAGAACUUAUCUAUACAAGGAGGAGGUCAUUAAACCAUUUCAUUCCAGGGUUCUGUACAUGUGGCACAUCUAUACGCUGCAGGACAUGGAGGACAGGAGUUUGACACUUGUGCUCUUGGCACCUUUGCCAAUAAAGAUUGGUGAAUUGAAGUAGGCAUUUUACACAUCCACUAAAGAAAAUAGUUCCAAAGAACAUUUGAAUAAGGAGGACGACCGUAUUUAUUUAUUUUUGUUUGAGCACGUUUUUGAGUGUUACAUCGGUUUUACAUUUGUUAAACCGAUGUAACACUCAAAAUUAAUCUUGUGUUUCUUGGAAAACGUAAAAUUAACUGCGGAUGGAUAUGCGGUUUCACACUCCAACGUAUUCUCCUCAUCAGUCCGUUUGCGCGGAAUCUGCAGGUUGACUGUCCUACGAAACAAUCUACUUCAAGAGCAUCAACCUGUGAAGAUCGCCUUUGACGAUUUGAAAAAGGUUGCCAUGGUUACAGAAAUUGGAGGAGUGUCCAGCUGUGCGAGUCCUCAUGCCCCAUGAAUUGGCGGUCCAGUUCAGCCUUUUUGGACGACAUUGGAAACACAAGCUCCGUGACCCGCGUCUCUUUGAAGUUGUGUAUGGGACACUUAAAAGAAAUGGAUCCAUCUACAGAAUCACACAAAGAUAUGGAAAAGGCACUCUCAAAGUGGUUUACUGGAGCCUGUGACUGGUGGAAAUAGGAAAGUUAGAACAACUAGGGAGGCUGUCAGUUCAAACUCAGCGCAUUUUUUGUUGUGGCACCAUUUGCUGAGUGUUAAUGAAGUUCUAAUAAUUGCUGUAGUGAGGUAAAAAAUAACUUCUGACAAUAUUUCAAAUUACAAAAUAAAACGCCUUGACCAAAAUAAAUUUUUCAUCUCUUUUUUUUUCUAUUGCAAGUUUUAUGCUAACACAUUUUAGGACCUUUGUUUUGUUGAUCAAGAUUGCAUAUCUAAGAAUGUAAUUCACUUCCAGGUUAGGUGAGAAAGACCCCAUUGUUCCUACAAGGAUAAGGCAUCUGGGUCCCACUGAAAACCCAGUUAAAGCCCAUUAAAAUAUACCUGGGCAAACCCAUGUGGGGCCACCAUGGAGACCUUGGACAAACCCACUUGUUACCCAUAUUCUAGCCCAGAUCAGACCCAAUUGGGACCUAGGUAAAUAUUCCUCAAGGCACCUUCGUGGGUCAUACAUGGGUCUCAUGUAAGAUAACCAUCUGGGCCCCACUGAAAACCCAGUCAGAGCCCACUGAAAUCUACCUGGGCAAACCCAUGUGGGGCCACCGUGGAAACCUUGGACAAACCCACUUGUUACCCAUAUUCUAGCCCAGAUCAGACCCAAUUGGGACCUAGGUAAAUAUUCCUCAAGGCACCUUCGUGGGCCUCAUGUAAGAUAACCAUCUGGGCCCCACUGAAAACCCAGUCAGAGCCCAUUAAAAUCUACCUGGGCAAACCCAUGUGGGGCCACCAUGGAAACCGUGGACAAACCCACUUGUUACCCAUAUUCUAGCCCAGUUCAGACCCAAUUGGGACCCACAUAAAUAUACCUGAAAGCACCCAAGUGGGCCACAGGUGGGCCUCAUGUAAGAUAACCAUCUGGGCCCCACUAAAGACCCAAUCAGAGCCCAUUAAAAUCUACCUGGGCAAACCCAUGUGGGGCCACCAUGGAAACCGUGGACAA
Molecule: long non-coding RNA, 2713 nt
Organism: Gambusia affinis (western mosquitofish)
Lineage: Eukaryota; Metazoa; Chordata; Actinopteri; Cyprinodontiformes; Poeciliidae
Exons: 5
Source: RefSeq, a predicted model, not a curated record